CUCUGGAGGGAGCUCUUCAGGGCAAAGGAA
Molecule: non-coding RNA, 30 nt
Filed under: unclassified sequences
Source: RNAcentral